RNAcentral lists this ribosomal RNA (650 nucleotides) under uncultured marine bacterium. RNAcentral describes it as "bacterial SSU rRNA". It matches the Rfam family "Bacterial small subunit ribosomal RNA", at positions 82 to 731 of the family's 1533-position model. The record is from RNAcentral.
GGACCUGAGUACAGUGGCGCACGGGUGAGUAACGCGUAGACAACCUACCCCCAGGUGGGGAAUAACUACGGGAAACCGUAGCUAAUACCGCAUAAUGUCAGAUGGCCGCAUGGCCGACUGAUCAAAGCUUUAUGCGCCCGGGGAUGGGUCUGCGUUGGAUUAGCUAGUUGGUGAGGUAAUAGCUCACCAAGGCAACGAUCCAUAGCGGGUCUGAGAGGAUGAUCCGCCACACUGGCACUGAGACACGGGCCAGACUCCUACGGGAGGCAGCAGUGAGGAAUAUUGCGCAAUGGAGGCAACUCUGACGCAGCCACGCCGCGUGCAGGAAGACACCCCUCAGGGGCGUAAACUGCUUUUAUACGGGAAGAAUGCCCUGGGUACCAGGGAGUGACGGUACCGUAUGAAUAAGGACCGGCUAACUCCGUGCCAGCAGCCGCGGUAAUACGGAGGGUCCAAGCGUUGUCCGGAAUCACUGGGUGUAAAGGGUGCGCAGGCGGGCUUGUAAGUCAGGGGUGAAAGCCACCGGCCUAACCGGUGAACUGCCCUUGAUACUGCAAGUCUUGAAUCUCGGAGAGGCUAUCGGAAUUCGUGGUGUAGCGGUGAAAUGCGUAAAUAUCACGAGGAACACCAGAUGCGUAGGCGGAUAGCUG